CCAGCCAUGCCGCGUGCAGGAAGACGGCCCUAUGGGUUGUAAACUGCUUUUAUAUAGGAAGAAACACUCUCACGUGUGAGAGCCUGACGGUACUGUAAGAAUAAGGACCGGCUAACUCCGUGCCAGCAGCCGCGGUAAUACGGAGGGUCCAAGCGUUAUCCGGAAUCAUUGGGUUUAAAGGGUCCGUAGGCGGACUAUUAAGUCAGAGGUGAAAGUUUGCAGCUCAACUGUAAAAUUGCCUUUGAUACUGGUAGUCUUGAGUUAUUAUGAAGUGGUUAGAAUAAGUAGUGUAGCGGUGAAAUGCAUAGAUAUUACUUAGAAUACCAAUUGCGAAGGCAGAUCACUAAUAAUAUAUUGACGCUGAGGGACGAAAGCAUGGGGAGCGAACAGGAUUAGAUACCCUGGUAGUCCACGCCGUAAACGAUGGAUACUAGCUGUUCGCUUCGGUUAGUGGCUAAGCGAAAGUGAUAAGUAUCCCACCUGGGGAGUACGUUCGCAAGAAUGAAACUCAAAGGAAUUGACGGGG
This 526-nucleotide ribosomal RNA is filed under the name uncultured bacterium. RNAcentral's name for it is "bacterial SSU rRNA". It matches the Rfam family "Bacterial small subunit ribosomal RNA", at positions 388 to 918 of the family's 1533-position model. The record is from RNAcentral.